This 22-nucleotide non-coding RNA is filed under the name Arabidopsis thaliana (thale cress). The record is from RNAcentral. Lineage: Eukaryota; Viridiplantae; Streptophyta; Magnoliopsida; Brassicales; Brassicaceae.
UAAAAUACAAAUCAGCAAGAAA